GGCUCAGAUUGAACGCUGGCGGCAGGCCUAACACAUGCAAGUCGAGCGGAAACGAGUUAACUGAACCUUCGGGGGACGUUAACGGCGUCGAGCGGCGGACGGGUGAGUAAUGCCUAGGAAAUUGCCCUGAUGUGGGGGAUAACCAUUGGAAACGAUGGCUAAUACCGCAUGAUGCCUACGGGCCAAAGAGGGGGACCUUCGGGCCUCUCGCGUCAGGAUAUGCCUAGGUGGGAUUAGCUAGUUGGUGAGGUAAGGGCUCACCAAGGCGACGAUCCCUAGCUGGUCUGAGAGGAUGAUCAGCCACACUGGAACUGAGACACGGUCCAGACUCCUACGGGAGGCAGCAGUGGGGAAUAUUGCACAAUGGGCGCAAGCCUGAUGCAGCCAUGCCGCGUGUGUGAAGAAGGCCUUCGGGUUGUAAAGCACUUUCAGUCGUGAGGAAGGUAGUGUAGUUAAUAGCUGCAUUAUUUGACGUUAGCGACAGAAGAAGCACCGGCUAACUCCGUGCCAGCAGCCGCGGUAAUACGGAGGGUGCGAGCGUUAAUCGGAAUUACUGGGCGUAAAGCGCAUGCAGGUGGUUUGUUAAGUCAGAUGUGAAAGCCCGGGGCUCAACCUCGGAAUAGCAUUUGAAACUGGCAGACUAGAGUAAUGUAGAGGGGGGUAGAAUUUCAGGUGUAGCGGUGAAAUGCGUAGAGAUCUGAAGGAAUACCGGUGGCGAAGGCGGCCCCCUGGACAGAUACUGACACUCAGAUGCGAAAGCGUGGGGAGCAAACAGGAUUAGAUACCCUGGUAGUCCACGCCGUAAACGAUGUCUACUUGGAGGUUGUGGCCUUGAGCCGUGGCUUUCGGAGCUAACGCGUUAAGUAGACCGCCUGGGGAGUACGGUCGCAACAUUAAAACUCAAAUGAAUUGACGGGGGNCCGCACAAGCGGUGGAGCAUGUGGUUUAAUUCGAUGCAACGCGAAGAACCUUACCUACUCUUGACAUCCAGAGAACUUUCCAGAGAUGGAUUGGUGCCUUCGGGAACUCUGAGACAGGUGCUGCAUGGCUGUCGUCAGCUCGUGUUGUGAAAUGUUGGGUUAAGUCCCGCAACGAGCGCAACCCUUAUCCUUGUUUGCCAGCGAGUAAUGUCGGGAACUCCAGGGAGACUGCCGGUGAUAAACGGGAGGAAGGUGGGGACGACGUCAAGUCAUCAUGGCCCUUACGAGUAGGGCUACACACGUGCUACAAUGGCGCAUACAGAGGGCGGCCAACUUGCGAAAGUGAGCGAAUCCCAAAAAGUGCGUCGUAGUCCGGAUUGGAGUCUGCAACUCGACUCCAUGAAGUCGGAAUCGCUAGUAAUCGUGGAUCAGAAUGCCACGGUGAAUACGUUCCCGGGCCUUGUACACACCGCCCGUCACACCAUGGGAGUGGGCUGCAAAAGAAGUAGGUAGUUUAA
This 1438-nucleotide ribosomal RNA is filed under the name Vibrio natriegens. Its description in RNAcentral is "bacterial SSU rRNA". It matches the Rfam family "Bacterial small subunit ribosomal RNA". Lineage: Bacteria; Pseudomonadati; Pseudomonadota; Gammaproteobacteria; Vibrionales; Vibrionaceae. The record is from RNAcentral.